This is a small nucleolar RNA of Ailuropoda melanoleuca (giant panda), 73 nucleotides long. Its record names the gene U3. It matches the Rfam family "Small nucleolar RNA U3". Rfam says of the family: Small nucleolar RNAs (snoRNAs) are involved in the processing and modification of rRNA in the nucleolus. There are two main classes of snoRNAs: the box C/D class, and the box H/ACA class. U3 snoRNA is a member of the box C/D class. The record is from Ensembl. NCBI's taxonomy places the organism in Eukaryota, Metazoa, Chordata, Mammalia, Carnivora, Ursidae.
AAGACUAUACUUUCAGGGAUCAUUUCUAUAGUUUGUUACUUUUGUGAAGCAAGAAUAUAACUGUAUUAUUUUA